RNAcentral lists this long non-coding RNA (839 nucleotides) under Androctonus crassicauda. Lineage: Eukaryota; Metazoa; Arthropoda; Arachnida; Scorpiones; Buthidae. The record is from RNAcentral.
UUUCGACCUAUGUUCAUGGGGAGUUUUUUGUUCCUUGCUAUUGAAUAUGCAUAGUGUUGAAUUUAUGACCACGACUUGCGGGACACCCUGUAUAUAUACACUAUUUAUGUCUUUAUAUUUCUGAAAUGCAAUGAAAAUUAGAAAACUUUUGACUGAUUUCAUGUCAUAUCAUAAAUAAUUUUAUAAAAUUUCAAAACUUUGCAGUGUCUUUAUGCCCUUGGAGCCAAUGUAAACUGCACAGUUUAUCCCUAUGAAUGACUAACUCUUGUUGUUAGGAAUAAAUAUGAUGAAGUGCACAGUUGGCAUAAACGUACAAUGGGAAUAUGGCAUGACUGAGUUGACAGAUCGUAUGAUCUUGCGAAAAAUUUUCUGAUUUUUGAUUAACUCAUGCAUAAGCUGUGUGUAGUCCUCCUUCAAAAAUUUUUUUGAGAAAAAUCAUCAGCUUAUGCACAAGUAUAUAUGGUAAUUAAGAGAAGAGCUAAAGCAGUUUUUAUAUGAUAUUAUAUUGGGGAUAGCUUCAACUUUCAUUAAUAUAUUUUUAAAGAAUAUCAACAUCUUAUGGGAUCAUGCCAGAAAAAUGUAAAACAAAAUGUCUUAGAACAAAAUGUAUAUGGAGACUUUAUUAAUAAAAAGUUGUAUAUUUAUAAAGAGAUCUUCAAAGAGGAUAUCAUUAACAAAAAGAUGCAAACAACUUAUCUGCUGCUUGAGAAUCUAUAUAUAUAAAAUUGAAUGUAUGUCUGUAUGUCUGUAUGUCUGUUGUCUGUCUGUCUGUACUCGAUGGAUUCGGAAACCAUACAUCCGAUCGCCGUGAAAAUUUGGGUAAUUAUUAGGUAUAUCCC